UUAAGUUAUUAAGGGCGCACGGUGGAUGCCUUGGCACUAGAAGCCGAUGAAGGACGUUACUAACGACGAUAUGCUUUGGGGAGCUGUAAGUAAGCUUUGAUCCAGAGAUUUCCGAAUGGGGAAACCCAGCAUGAGUUAUGUCAUGUUAUCGAUAUGUGAAUACAUAGCAUAUCAGAAGGCACACCCGGAGAACUGAAACAUCUUAGUACCCGGAGGAAGAGAAAGAAAAUUCGAUUCCCUUAGUAGCGGCGAGCGAAACGGGAAGAGCCCAAACCAACAAGCUUGCUUGUUGGGGUUGUAGGACACUCUAUACGGAGUUACAAAGGACGACAUUAGACGAAUCAUCUGGAAAGAUGAAUCAAAGAAGGUAAUAAUCCUGUAGUCGAAAAUGUUGUCUCUCUUGAGUGGAUCCUGAGUACGACGGAGCACGUGAAAUUCCGUCGGAAUCUGGGAGGACCAUCUCCUAAGGCUAAAUACUCUCUAGUGACCGAUAGUGAACCAGUACCGUGAGGGAAAGGUGAAAAGCACCCCGGAAGGGGAGUGAAAUAGAACCUGAAACCGUGUGCUUACAAGUAGUCAGAGCCCGUUAAUGGGUGAUGGCGUGCCUUUUGUAGAAUGAACCGGCGAGUUACGAUUUGAUGCAAGGUUAAGCAGUAAAUGUGGAGCCGUAGCGAAAGCGAGUCUGAAUAGGGCGUUUAGUAUUUGGUCGUAGACCCGAAACCAGGUGAUCUACCCUUGGUCAGGUUGAAGUUCAGGUAACACUGAAUGGAGGACCGAACCGACUUACGUUGAAAAGUGAGCGGAUGAACUGAGGGUAGCGGAGAAAUUCCAAUCGAACCUGGAGAUAGCUGGUUCUCUCCGAAAUAGCUUUAGGGCUAGCCUCAAGUGAUGAUUAUUGGAGGUAGAGCACUGUUUGGACGAGGGGCCCCUCUCGGGUUACCGAAUUCAGACAAACUCCGAAUGCCAAUUAAUUUAACUUGGGAGUCAGAACAUGGGUGAUAAGGUCCGUGUUCGAAAGGGAAACAGCCCAGACCACCAGCUAAGGUCCCAAAAUAUAUGUUAAGUGGAAAAGGAUGUGGCGUUGCCCAGACAACUAGGAUGUUGGCUUAGAAGCAGCCAUCAUUUAAAGAGUGCGUAAUAGCUCACUAGUCGAGUGACACUGCGCCGAAAAUGUACCGGGGCUAAACAUAUUACCGAAGCUGUGGAUUGUCCUUUGGACAAUGGUAGGAGAGCGUUCUAAGGGCGUUGAAGCAUGAUCGUAAGGACAUGUGGAGCGCUUAGAAGUGAGAAUGCCGGUGUGAGUAGCGAAAGACGGGUGAGAAUCCCGUCCACCGAUUGACUAAGGUUUCCAGAGGAAGGCUCGUCCGCUCUGGGUUAGUCGGGUCCUAAGCUGAGGCCGACAGGCGUAGGCGAUGGAUAACAGGUUGAUAUUCCUGUACCACCUAUAAUCGUUUUAAUCGAUGGGGGGACGCAGUAGGAUAGGCGAAGCGUGCGAUUGGAUUGCACGUCUAAGCAGUAAGGCUGAGUAUUAGGCAAAUCCGGUACUCGUUAAGGCUGAGCUGUGAUGGGGAGAAGACAUUGAGUCUUCGAGUCGUUGAUUUCACACUGCCGAGAAAAGCCUCUAGAUAGAAAAUAGGUGCCCGUACCGCAAACCGACACAGGUAGUCAAGAUGAGAAUUCUAAGGUGAGCGAGCGAACUCUCGUUAAGGAACUCGGCAAAAAUGACCCCGUAACUUCGGGAGAAGGGGUGCUCUUUAGGGUUAACGCCCAGAAGAGCCGCAGUGAAAUAGGCCCAAGCGACUGUUUAUCAAAAACACAGGUCUCUGCUAAACCGUAAG
Molecule: ribosomal RNA, 1838 nt
Filed under: Staphylococcus aureus
Lineage: Bacteria; Bacillati; Bacillota; Bacilli; Caryophanales; Staphylococcaceae
Description: bacterial LSU rRNA
Rfam family: Bacterial large subunit ribosomal RNA
Source: RNAcentral